Molecule: ribosomal RNA, 483 nt
Filed under: uncultured bacterium
Lineage: Bacteria
Description: partial 16S ribosomal RNA
Rfam family: Bacterial small subunit ribosomal RNA
Source: RNAcentral
AUUGAACGCUGGCGGCAGGCCUAACACAUGCAAGUCGAGCGGAUGAAGGGAGCUUGCUCCUGAUUCAGCGGCGGACGGGUGAGUAAUGCCUAGGAAUCUGCCUGGUAGUGGGGGAUAACGUCCGGAAACGGGCGCUAAUACCGCAUACGUCCUGAGGGAGAAAGUGGGGGAUCUUCGGACCUCACGCUAUCAGAUGAGCCUAGGUCGGAUUAGCUAGUUGGUGGGGUAAAGGCCUACCAAGGCGACGAUCCGUAACUGGUCUGAGAGGAUGAUCAGUCACACUGGAACUGAGACACGGUCCAGACUCCUACGGGAGGCAGCAGUGGGGAAUAUUGGACAAUGGGCGAAAGCCUGAUCCAGCCAUGCCGCGUGUGUGAAGAAGGUCUUCGGAUUGUAAAGCACUUUAAGUUGGGAGGAAGGGCAGUAAGUUAAUACCCUGCUGUUUUGACGUUACCAACAGAAUAAGCACCGGCUAACUUCGUG